Molecule: long non-coding RNA, 403 nt
Organism: Pseudophryne corroboree (corroboree frog)
Lineage: Eukaryota; Metazoa; Chordata; Amphibia; Anura; Myobatrachidae
Exons: 3
Source: RefSeq, a predicted model, not a curated record
AUGGUGAUGGCGCCGGUGCACGCACCUGCAGAGAGUCGGUUUAAUGAUGUCAUCAGCCUGCGUGGGAGGGAUCUCCGUGAAACGCAUGGCGGUAACACUCGGCCAGUACGGCGCGGUUACCUUCUUGAGUCAACAGAACUUUGGAAACUCCUGCCUCCAACCAGCCCAAGUCACAGCACCAAGAUAGCAAGAAGACAGUCAGAGAGAGGAAGGCUAUAGGAGCAAAGGCGGAAAGCAAAUGCCAGGAGAAGGAGUCGAUUGGGAACAUUGGCGUGUUACCAUGGUGACGGAUUCACAGUAGUUUUGUCCCUGCUGCCGUUCUGGCGCCGCCUGCAUGUGAUGACGUCAGCGGAAGCGGAGGGAGUAGUUGUGCACGUUUUUCACCUGGUGUUUUAGACUAUGU